RNAcentral lists this long non-coding RNA (812 nucleotides) under Olea europaea (common olive). Its description in RNAcentral is "long non-coding RNA (OEUR_LNC008830)". The record is from RNAcentral. Lineage: Eukaryota; Viridiplantae; Streptophyta; Magnoliopsida; Lamiales; Oleaceae.
UUUUACGGUAAGAUAUCAUUUAACAUAGAUUGCAAUAAAAGUUUUCCAUGAUAAUAUUAUGUUGUUUGUAGAAACUACAUUGUUGACAAUAUUACAGAAGUCGUCAAUCACUUCCCCCUUUUGGUAUUGAAGCCGGGUUAUGCCCUUUCACCACAGCAUCGGAGCCGUUUGCUGGCUUAGGUGGUUUCUCCCAUUCAUUCACGGAGGUUGCUUUUGGUGGACAACCUGCGAGCUUGGACUUAGGUUCUUCUCCCGCUGCAUUCAUAAAGGUUUCUCCCGGUGGACAACCAGCUGGUUUAGCUGGAAGUUCCGCUUGAUUCAUGGCGGUUGCUGCUGGUGGGCAACCUGCUGACUUGUGCUUAGGUGAUUCCUCCUCAGCAUUCAUGCAGGUUGCUCCUGGUGGACAACCAGCUGGCUUAGCUGGUUGUACUGCUAGAUUCUUGGUGGUUGCCGCCGGUGGGCAACCUGCUGACUUGUGCUUAGGUGAUUCCUCCGCUGCAUUCAUGCAGGUUGCUCCUGGUGGACAACCAGCUGGCUUAACUGGUUGUUCUGCUAGAUUCGUGGUGGUUGCCGCCGGUGGGCAACCUGCUGACUUGUGCUUAGAUGAUUCCUCCGCUGCAUUCAUGCAGGUUGCUCCCGGUGGACAACCUGCGGGCUUAGCUGGUUGCUCCGCUCGAUUCAUGGCAGUUGCUGCCGGUGGACAACCUGCUUGCUUGGACUUAGGUUCUCCCUCUUGGUUCAUGGUGGUUUUCCUGGAUGCUUCCUCUGCUAAAUGAAUGGUUGUGGGCUUGUUCUUGAUUCUAGCAUAAAAA